This 486-nucleotide ribosomal RNA is filed under the name uncultured bacterium. Its description in RNAcentral is "bacterial SSU rRNA". It matches the Rfam family "Bacterial small subunit ribosomal RNA", at positions 28 to 503 of the family's 1533-position model. The record is from RNAcentral.
GAUGAACGCUAGCGACAGGCCUAACACAUGCAAGUCGAGGGGCAGCAUGGUAUCAGCUUGCUGAUACCGAUGGCGACCGGCGCACGGGUGAGUAACGCGUAUGUAAUCUGCCUGUAACAGAGGGAUAACCCGGAGAAAUCCGGCCUAAUACCUCAUAGCACAUAUUAUUCGCAUGAGUUUUAUGUUAAAGAGACUCGGUUACAGAUGAACAUGCGUUCCAUUAGCUGGUUGGCGGGGUAACGGCCCACCAAGGCAACGAUGGAUAGGGGUUCUGAGAGGAAGGUCCCCCACACUGGUACUGAGACACGGACCAGACUCCUACGGGAGGCAGCAGUGAGGAAUAUUGGUCAAUGGGCGAGAGCCUGAACCAGCCAAGUCGCGUGGAGGAAGACUGCCCUACGGGUUGUAAACUCCUUUUACCUGGGAAUAACGGGCGCUACGCGUAGCGCUGUGCAUGUACCGGGAGAAGUAAGCAGGGGACGAAGG